CCUACGGGAGGCAGCAGUGAGGAAUAUUGGUCAAUGGACGAGAGUCUGAACCAGCCAAGUAGCGUGAAGGAUGACUGCCCUAUGGGUUGUAAACUUCUUUUAUAAAGGAAUAAAACGAGGCACGUGUGCCUUUUUGCAUAUACUUUAUGAAUAAGGAUCGGCUAACUCCGUGCCAGCAGCCGCGGUAAUACGGAGGAUCCGAGCGUUAUCCGGAUUUAUUGGGUUUAAAGGGAGCGUAGAUGGGUUGUUAAGUCAGUUGUGAAAGUUUGCGGCUCAACCGUAAAAUUGCAAUUGAUACUGGCAUUCUUGAGUACAGUUGAGGUAGGCGGAAUUCGUGGUGUAGCGGUGAAAUGCUUAGAUAUCACGAAGAACCCCGAUUGCGAAGGCAGCUUACUAAACUGUGACUGACAUUGAUGCUCGAAAGUGUGGGUAUCAAACAGGAUUAGAUACCCGAGUAGUC
This 460-nucleotide ribosomal RNA is filed under the name uncultured bacterium. RNAcentral describes it as "partial 16S ribosomal RNA". It matches the Rfam family "Bacterial small subunit ribosomal RNA", at positions 338 to 795 of the family's 1533-position model. The record is from RNAcentral.